This 460-nucleotide ribosomal RNA is filed under the name uncultured bacterium. Its description in RNAcentral is "partial 16S ribosomal RNA". It matches the Rfam family "Bacterial small subunit ribosomal RNA", at positions 338 to 795 of the family's 1533-position model. The record is from RNAcentral.
CCUACGGGAGGCAGCAGUGAGGAAUAUUGGUCAAUGGACGAGAGUCUGAACCAGCCAAGUAGCGUGAAGGAUGACUGCCCUAUGGGUUGUAAACUUCUUUUAUAAAGGAAUAAGACGGCGCACGUGUGCCUUUUUGCAUGUACUUUAUGAAUAAGAAUCGGCUAACUCCGUGCCAGCAGCCGCGGUAAUACGGAGGAUCCGAGCGUUAUCCGGAUUUCUUGGGUUUAAAGGUAGCGUAGAUGGGUUGUUAAGUCAGUUGUGAAAGUUUGCGGCUCAACCGUGAAAUUGCAAUUGAUACUGGCAGUCUUGAGUACAGUUGAGGUAGGCGGAAUUCGUGGUGUAGCGGUGAAAUGCUUAGAUAUCACGAAGAACCCCGAUUGCGAAGGCAGCUUACUAAACUGUGACUGACAUUGAUGCUCGAAAGUGUGGGUAUCAAACAGGAUUAGAUACCCCAGUAGUC